AUCCUGGCUCAGAACGAACGCUGGCGGCAGGCUUAACACAUGCAAGUCGAGCGCCCCGCAAGGGGAGCGGCAGACGGGUGAGUAACGCGUGGGAAUCUACCCUUUUCUACGGAAUAACGCAGGGAAACUUGUGCUAAUACCGUAUAAGCCCUUCGGGGGAAAGAUUUAUCGGGAAAGGAUGAGCCCGCGUUGGAUUAGCUAGUUGGUGGGGUAAAGGCCUACCAAGGCGACGAUCCAUAGCUGGUCUGAGAGGAUGAUCAGCCACAUUGGGACUGAGACACGGCCCAAACUCCUACGGGAGGCAGCAGUGGGGAAUAUUGGACAAUGGGCGCAAGCCUGAUCCAGCCAUGCCGCGUGAGUG
RNAcentral lists this ribosomal RNA (361 nucleotides) under Ensifer sp. R-32544. RNAcentral describes it as "bacterial SSU rRNA". It matches the Rfam family "Bacterial small subunit ribosomal RNA", at positions 16 to 407 of the family's 1533-position model. The record is from RNAcentral. Lineage: Bacteria; Pseudomonadati; Pseudomonadota; Alphaproteobacteria; Hyphomicrobiales; Rhizobiaceae. RNAcentral also lists the same sequence under 1 other name.